CUGGCGGCGUGCCUAAUACAUGCAAGUCGAACGAACUCUGGUAUUGAUUGGUGCUUGCAUCAUGAUUUACAUUUGAGUGAGUGGCGAACUGGUGAGUAACACGUGGGAAACCUGCCCAGAAGCGGGGGAUAACACCUGGAAACAGAUGCUAAUACCGCAUAACAACUUGGACCGCAUGGUCCGAGCUUGAAAGAUGGCUUCGGCUAUCACUUUUGGAUGGUCCCGCGGCGUAUUAGCUAGAUGGUGGGGUAACGGCUCACCAUGGCAAUGAUACGUAGCCGACCUGAGAGGGUAAUCGGCCACAUUGGGACUGAGACACGGCCCAAACUCCUACGGGAGGCAGCAGUAGGGAAUCUUCCACAAUGGACGAAAGUCUGAUGGAGCAACGCCGCGUGAGUGAAGAAGGGUUUCGGCUCGUAAAACUCUGUUGUUAAAGAAGAACAUAUCUGAGAGUAACUGUUCAGGUAUUGACGGUAUUUAACCAGAAAGCCACGGCUAACUACGUGCCAGCAGCCGCGGUAAUACGUAGGUGGCAAGCGUUGUCCGGAUUUAUUGGGCGUAAAGCGAGCGCAGGCGGUUUUUUAAGUCUGAUGUGAAAGCCUUCGGCUCAACCGAAGAAGUGCAUCGGAAACUGGGAAACUUGAGUGCAGAAGAGGACAGUGGAACUCCAUGUGUAGCGGUGAAAUGCGUAGAUAUAUGGAAGAACACCAGUGGCGAAGGCGGCUGUCUGGUCUGUAACUGACGCUGAGGCUCGAAAGUAUGGGUAGCAAACAGGAUUAGAUACCCUGGUAGUCCAUACCGUAAACGAUGAAUGCUAAGUGUUGGAGGGUUUCCGCCCUUCAGUGCUGCAGCUAACGCAUUAAGCAUUCCGCCUGGGGAGUACGGCCGCAAGGCUGAAACUCAAAGGAAUUGACGGGGGCCCGCACAAGCGGUGGAGCAUGUGGUUUAAUUCGAAGCUACGCGAAGAACCUUACCAGGUCUUGACAUACUAUGCAAAUCUAAGAGAUUAGACGUUCCCUUCGGGGACAUGGAUACAGGUGGUGCAUGGUUGUCGUCAGCUCGUGUCGUGAGAUGUUGGGUUAAGUCCCGCAACGAGCGCAACCCUUAUUAUCAGUUGCCAGCAUUAAGUUGGGCACUCUGGUGAGACUGCCGGUGACAAACCGGAGGAAGGUGGGGAUGACGUCAAAUCAUCAUGCCCCUUAUGACCUGGGCUACACACGUGCUACAAUGGAUGGUACAACGAGUUGCGAACUCGCGAGAGUAAGCUAAUCUCUUAAAGCCAUUCUCAGUUCGGAUUGUAGGCUGCAACUCGCCUACAUGAAGUCGGAAUCGCUAGUAAUCGCGGAUCAGCAUGCCGCGGUGAAUACGUUCCCGGGCCUUGUACACACCGCCCGUCACACCAUGAGAGUUUGUAACACCCAAAGUCGGUGGGGUAACCUUUUAGGAACCAGCCGCCUAAGG
This 1461-nucleotide ribosomal RNA is filed under the name Lactiplantibacillus plantarum. Its description in RNAcentral is "bacterial SSU rRNA". It matches the Rfam family "Bacterial small subunit ribosomal RNA". Lineage: Bacteria; Bacillati; Bacillota; Bacilli; Lactobacillales; Lactobacillaceae. The record is from RNAcentral.